This 196-nucleotide ribosomal RNA is filed under the name uncultured bacterium. RNAcentral's name for it is "partial 16S ribosomal RNA". It matches the Rfam family "Bacterial small subunit ribosomal RNA", at positions 1307 to 1500 of the family's 1533-position model. The record is from RNAcentral.
GCAACUCGACUACAUGAAGCUGGAAUCGCUAGUAAUCGCGAAUCAGAAUGUCGCGGUGAAUACGUUCCCGGGUCUUGUACACACCGCCCGUCACACCAUGGGAGUCAGUAACGCCCGAAGCCGGUGACCCAACCAGUUCAGGAGGGAGCCGUCGAAGGUGGGACCGAUAACUGGGGUGAAGUCGUAACAAGGUAGC